UCCCGCUCCGUGGCUGUCACCGGCCGGUCCCCCCGGCCGUCCCCGCCCGCCUCCCCCUGUCUCUUUCCAUCUCCCGGUCUCCGCGGCGUUUCUCUGCCUCCUUCCUCGCCUCUCCCGGCCUCUCUGGCUGUCCCCGGCUCUCUUCCUCACUGCCUCUCUCUUUUUCUCUUACCCCUCUCUCCUCGGCUGCUCUCACCACUUCCUCCCUCCCUCUCCGGCUUCCUUCUACCUCCCCUCACUCUCCCCCCUUUCUCGCCUUGCUCAGGGGGACUCGCUAUCUCUUUCUCUGUCUCUCCUUGGAACAGCGGCCCCCAGAAUGCAACUGAAGCCAUUUCCCCGCUCUGAGACCUCGGACAAGUCACUCCACGCCAGGGCUGCAGUUUCCUAUCUCUAAAAGGAGUUGAUGAGCAGCUCUAGGUGGGGUGGCGAUGGGGGACGCAGGAGGUGUCCCCUGCCUGUGGUCCCCUGUUGAAGUUCACGCCUCCUCAAAUGCAGCGGCCACCCAGGGCUCGCUGGGUGCCCUGUGUGCCCCACAAAACACCUUUCCUCAGCCUCGAGAACAAGUACUAGAGGGCAGUUCCGCGGGAAAAGUUAAUGUUUCAGGGAUGUUUCCCGGACCGAGUGUGGCUUCAGAGUCAGAGAGAUGUGAGUUCAAGACCACUUGCUUAGGAUGUAGGGGCUGGGGCCGCUGUCACCACCUCACAACCAUGGGGCUUCUGAGACCGAAGCCAGCACAGCAGAAGGCAGCAGCACGGUGGAGCG
Long non-coding RNA from Symphalangus syndactylus (siamang), 762 nucleotides. RefSeq lists it as uncharacterized. NCBI's taxonomy places the organism in Eukaryota, Metazoa, Chordata, Mammalia, Primates, Hylobatidae. The record is from RefSeq and is a predicted model, not a curated record.